Molecule: long non-coding RNA, 1110 nt
Filed under: Ficedula albicollis (Collared flycatcher)
Lineage: Eukaryota; Metazoa; Chordata; Aves; Passeriformes; Muscicapidae
Description: lncRNA (ENSFALG00000024947.1)
Source: RNAcentral
UUAUAUCCAUGAUCCAGAGUAACAAACCCAUGUACUUUAAACAACUGAAGCAACUAUUGGAUAAAAUAUGGAAACUGGAAGAUGGGACUAGAAGCAACCUCCUUUACUGUAUAAAUCCACCUAUUCACCAUAAAUCAAGAAAAAACACAUUUGAGUGAAGGUAACAAAAUAUCCAUACUGUCUGUGAAGAUCAACUGCCAAAGUAGUGUCUCAAUAACAAUUUCCAAGUUAGGGCACAAGAGCAACUCCUGAUGACAUCUUGUCGGUUCUCGUGUGAACAUGGGGCCAGCACCCCUGCCAAUGCAGUUAAUGUUUUCUGGCUGAGGUCACUAACAUCUGGUUUGUGUACAGGCAGCUUGUGCUGCUCAGUGUUGCACGGGAACAGAGGCAUCACAGGAUGUCACAGAGGAGCACGGGUUUAGUGUUUGUGAGUAACCUCAAGUAAUGCCUGAUUUGUGGGGUUGCAAAACACAGAUGGAAACAAGCAUGAGAUUCCACAAAAUAGGAAGAGGUAGUCAGUCCUAUGGGGCAAAGCCUAAGAGAGCGCAAACAAUGAGAGAAGACAGAAGAGGAUGGAAUAGAAGUGUGCUUCCACCUAUGACUGUGCCAGCUUGGCCCAGAAUAACAAUCCAGUAUCAAAGCCAGGGAAGAGCACUGCAGAGCCAACAGAAGAUAACCAGACUGGCUGGAGAGGGAUGUACUGGAGUUGAGUGCUACAGCACUGGAACAAGACUAAAGGAGAGGAUUUCACAGGGACAAAUCUGAAAGAGCCAGCAACUGGCUGUGAGGCACACACAACACAAACCCACUCAAAUACAAGGGGCAUCUCUCAUGUUGCACCCAAAAUUUGACUCCAUCUCAUAACAGUUUGCUAUUCCUGGUCUUCACAGUAAACUGACAUCAACACUUAAUCAAAAAUCCAAAGCUAGAGAAAAUAAUAUUUACAUUAAAGAGGUCAAUCCCACUUCUUGUCAUGUCUUCUGUGUUUUACUUUAUUUUUUAUUUUAAUAGUUUUUCAUUUUAAUCUUGUGUUCCAAAUGUGGGUUAUGGCAAGACAACAGGAACUUGAAUUGCUAUGCAUAAUUCAUAGUAAAUAAAAUAAAUUUAAAA